This 1193-nucleotide long non-coding RNA is filed under the name Penaeus japonicus. RNAcentral's name for it is "uncharacterized LOC122264142". Lineage: Eukaryota; Metazoa; Arthropoda; Malacostraca; Decapoda; Penaeidae. The record is from RNAcentral.
GGGUUUACCUUGGCGUCCGACCGCAUCACAAAUGGAAAUGAACAUGGCCGGAGCGGACCGCGAGUUCCCAAGGCGCCUGCUCGCCCCGAAGGCGCCCGCUCGCCCCGAAGGCGCCCGCUCGCAGUGAAGGCAGAAGCGGCAACGCCGAGUGUUUACUGAUCACCUACCUGUCAGUGCAGGUCCUCUCGGACAAUCAGACUGUGAUAUAAUCUGAUCAGACUGGUUUCUGCAUCCCUGAAUUUUUAUUCUUCUUGUUUUGUUUAUGCAUAUAUUUAAUGCUGUGUGAAUAUUGGCAUAAUAUUAGUUUAUUGUCUUAUUAUAGCUUCCAUUAAAUAAUAGUUACUUAUGGACAUGUGCUUAAAGAAACUGUGGGAUCGAAAAGCACAAUAUUGUUAUAUUUUCUGUAAGCAAAAUUUUGAGAAGACUUUAUUCCCUCGCAGUAACACGCGCCGUUUAGAUCAAGCCUAAUUGAGGAACCCGGAGGUCAACCUUGUGGUGGGAUUGAUGCAAGGGUUUUGCAUGCAAUAUAUCUGCAACGGUUAAGCACAACAAGCAUUGCGGACUUGUUCCUUGGUAGAUGAUUUUGUGCGCUAGUGAACGCAUCCCACUGAUUCUCUAAGUAUUGUAUUAGAUAUGUUUCAUUGUACAUAUUGGUAGGAACUUAAAUCACCAUUGGAUUGGUUUGUGUUCAAAUAUUUACAGUAUUAUUGAUAGUUAUGCGUUGAAUAAAUCCCCAUGAUUGUUAACUUAGAAUGAGUUGAUUGAUAUGCAAUAUCUUUAUUUCAUAAAUAUCUUUAAUUGUGACCUUGAAUGCGAUGUAGAUAUGCUCUGGGAUAUCUUAAAUGCAGUCAACUGAAUGAUGGUGGUGGCGUCAUCCUUAUCGAUGCGGUGACCGUUAACAUUUCCGGUUCGUUGGUGAAGUGGACACUGAUCCCCUGGCAAAGCCUCUUCGCCAGCGCCUUCCGCAGCCAAGGCUAAGGAAAGGAAAGCAAUAUCUGAGCGUCUGCGAACGCCUGAAUUAGAGCUGGAUUUAUACUUGUCUUAUAUUUGGUCCCGUCCCGAGCGUAGGAUUAGACUCUUGUACUUACACAGUACAAAUGCAUAUUUUCUUAUCUAUUAUUCUUAAGUAUACAUUUUUAUGACAUUUUGUCACAUGAAAUGUUUUCAGAAAUAAAUGCUUUACUACAAAAGUU